GAUGAACGCUGGCGGCGUGCCUAAUACAUGCAAGUCGAGCGAACAGAUGAGGAGCUUGCUCCUUUGACGUUAGCGGCGGACGGGUGAGUAACACGUGGGUAACCUACCUAUAAGACUGGGAUAACUUCGGGAAACCGGAGCUAAUACCGGAUAAUAUUUUGAACCGCAUGGUUCAAUAGUGAAAGACGGUUUUGCUAUCACUUAUAGAUGGAUCCGCGCCGUAUUAGCUAGUUGGUAAGGUAACGGCUUACCAAGGCAACGAUGCGUAGCCGACCUGAGAGGGGUAACCGCCACACCUGAACCGGAGAACCGGCCAAAACCCCUACGGAAGGAAGCGGAAGGAAUCUUCCGCAAUGGGCGAAAGCCUGACGGAGCAACGCCGCGUGAGUGAUGAAGGGUUUCGGCUCGUAAAACUCUGUUAUUAGGGAAGAACAAACGUGUAAGUAACUGUGCACGUCUUGACGGUACCUAAUCAGAAAGCCACGGCUAACUACGUG
RNAcentral lists this ribosomal RNA (497 nucleotides) under uncultured bacterium. RNAcentral describes it as "partial 16S ribosomal RNA". It matches the Rfam family "Bacterial small subunit ribosomal RNA", at positions 28 to 507 of the family's 1533-position model. The record is from RNAcentral.